RNAcentral lists this long non-coding RNA (309 nucleotides) under Equus caballus (horse). RNAcentral's name for it is "lncRNA (ENSECAG00000057497.1)". The record is from RNAcentral. Lineage: Eukaryota; Metazoa; Chordata; Mammalia; Perissodactyla; Equidae.
AAGGAGAGGUGUUUGGAUGGUUUACCAUCAUUCUCAAAAGGCUCCAGGCUACGUCUUUUGGGGCUUAAUGGAAGAUUCCUGAAGGCAGAGCUUUUUGUCUGAAUUCCUAGUGCCUAGAUGAAUGCUUCAUACAUAGCACAGGCUAGUCUGCUGGAGGAUGAGACACCACAUGAAUCAGCUGCAUCAGCCCAGUUCUCCCAGCCCAAGCCCCAGAUGUGUGAGAAAGGUCAAUAAAGGCGAUCACGGCUGACCUACUGGCUGAGCACCGAUGCAUAAAUAAGCCCAAGCAAGAACCAAAGAAUCACCACC